GCCCAUUUCCCCCAAUAUUCAUUUGUUCCCUCCAAAUUCUCCAUUUUCUCAGAACAUCCUGCCAUCUCCAUCCAUUCCCUGAAGACGUGGAGUCGAGCUCUCCUUCUCUCCGCCCUCUUUCAUCUCCAUCGAUGAAGACCGGUCCACUCUCCAAGUCGCCACCAGCGUUCUCGUUCUCCUCACCGGCGCCAUAUCCAUCUUCAUAUUCCGCUCCUCCCGUCACCGAGCAAAGUGCCAAAGAACUGCACAAAGUGUCAAUAACAUUCCAGAGCUUAUAUCGACUUUAAGUGGCUGGAUGAUGUCAUUGACUUUGCAGAGUUCUUCGAUACACCUUCCCAGCACGUUCCAAAGCAAUGGUCUAAAAAAUGGCCGUGAAGGGACAAUAUGGAAUGGUAAUAAGAGGCUUAUUUUGCAUGAUGGUUAUGGUUUCCAAUUAACUCAUUACGUAACUUAUUACUUAUAGCUAAAGUUUUGGUGAAAAUAUAAAUCUCGAGUAUCUUGGAUUCCUUGUGGUUAUUUCAAAGCCUGUGGAGAAUCUUCCCAAUGUGGAUAUACAAUUGGAAAAAAAGGAAGCUGCAUGAGCUGGUGCUGCUAAAGAAGCUCGUAUAGUCACACCAUUAAUGGAGAUUUUUAGGCAGAAAAGAGCUGUCAAGGGUUUCAGAUUAACUAUCUGAUUACUUUUAUGGAUACUAAAUGACAUUAGUGGGAGUAUGGAUGCCAAGAAAGCUUGCAGUGGGGCUACGAAAAUUCAAAGUGUCAAAAAGGAUGGGGCAAGUCAUGGAUCACUCUAGGUGUCAUAAAGGCUUUUUUGCUAUAUUUCUUUGUUGCAGAAAUUCAGAAAACAGGUAAUAUAUACGGUUCCGGUUGCAAGUAUAAACUGAAGAUGUUGGUUUUGGUUGCAAGUAUGAAGACUUGGGUUCGGGGGGCUAUUGUAUAUCAGUUUCAUCUUUACACAUUUAUAUAUUUGUGUUACUUUGAAACUUUUUUUAAUUUGUGUUAGUUUAAAACCUUUAUUUAUAUGUUUGGUUAAUUUA
Molecule: long non-coding RNA, 1034 nt
Organism: Helianthus annuus (common sunflower)
Lineage: Eukaryota; Viridiplantae; Streptophyta; Magnoliopsida; Asterales; Asteraceae
Exons: 6
Source: RefSeq, a predicted model, not a curated record